This 1911-nucleotide unclassified non-coding RNA is filed under the name Hevea brasiliensis (rubber tree). Lineage: Eukaryota; Viridiplantae; Streptophyta; Magnoliopsida; Malpighiales; Euphorbiaceae. The record is from RNAcentral.
UGAAUAAUAAUUAUAAUGAAUUGCAGAGAGAUAAAAGCAUCACUUCCAUUUGACACACUUCUCGCUCAAAACAAAUAUUUAGAGGGGAAAAAAUCGAAGACCAAAAAGUGCAAGACAUUUUACACAAGGAGACGAGCUAAUACUGAUGAUACAACAUGCAGAGAUCCUGUCACCACGAGAACACAUGGGUGGUUCUCUGUUUUUCCUUUGAGAAACUCAUUUGCAACUCUCAAGGAAACCCCUAAUGAUUUCUCAGCUGCUAAUAUGAUUCUGCCAUCUAGUUUCCUUGCAGGAUAGACAAAUCGAUUCUUGAAUAGUUCUUGGUACUCUGCCGUUCCAUCAUGAAGGGUAUUGAUGCCCAAUUCUUCAGAAGCUUGUACCCAGUGGUCUCUCAACAAGGACGCCGUAGUUGUUCGGGAUUUCCCUCCAGCAAUGUCGGCUUCUGUUAGGAAGACAGCCUCUAAUUGUUCAUCUGGAAAAGGAGAUGAAUCCUAAUCAUAACAUUCCAAAAAACUGCAUGCUUGCUUCCCUACAUUGGCAACACCCAACAAGGGUGUCCCAGAUAAAGAAUUGAGAUGCCAAAGAGCUUGUCCAUUCAGGAAUAAAUAGAAUUUAGGUAUCUGGUAUGAUAUCAUUUUAAAUAGGAAAACCUAUGGGAAGAAGAAAAAACAUAAACACAAGAAAUUAAAAGUUAAGAGCCCUCGACUAGGGUUGCAUCCUGCACUUCUAGAGAUUGACCAACUCGCUAGCAUAACUCUUUCAGAUUAUGAUUGUAUGUUCUCAAUUUUAUUAUUUAGACUGCUUCAGGGGACUAUACCUAACAGAAAUUCUCUUGCAAAAGCCCGAUGGUCUUUGUCACUAGCCAUUGCAACCACAAGCACCAAUCGUGCCUCUGGAAAUGCCAUCCGUAUUGUGUCAACCAAAGCUUUUGCAGAUUCUUUAGUGUGAGCUGAAAAGGAAUUUACAAAUGCAAUUAACAUACAAUAUAAUACCACCUAGGAGAACACGACUAAAGUGAUAAAAAUGGACCAUAGAAUUUACUAUCUGGGGAAGGUUACACAUUUAGGACAUCAAGAAGAAGCAAUAGCGGAAAAUAAGAAUUAACCUCCAUCAAGCAGUAUUGUAGCUCCAGGAAGUCCUAAUACCUCAGCUUCUUUGGAUGCUAGAAAUUGACUUCUUCCAAGUAAGUAAGUGUUCUCUAAACCAACUCUAAUAGAUCCAUCUGAAAUUCCCCAUCCUGUGCCAUCCACAGAGUAUGAAAAGAACUAAGUAGUAGUACACGUUAAUAAAAAGCUUGCCUUGUCCAUAAAGUAUCCAUUGGCAAUUAUUUACACCUAGCUGGACAGAUUUAUUUUCAUCAUCUCAUAGUUUGCUCACAGUGCCAAAUGAGCUAGGAAGCUCUUUUAAGGUAAAUUCCGAUUCAAAAUGGAACAAUAAAGGUCAUUAACCUUGAAUGGCCACUGCUAAAGUUCUAAUAGUGGGCAAUUUAAGGAUAAAGCAGUAUAAGCGUCAAAUGACUAGGGCAGAAGGACCCCAAUUAUGUAGAAAAACCCAAAUCAACCACUAUUUUCCCAGUCAUGUAGUUCUGUCCAUUGUAAUAGACUUCACAUAAGUACCAAGGUCAAAGAAAACUUUGAGCUAAAGAAUAGGCUAAUAGAGAUAAGCAUCCUCCAGGACCUCCAUCCAGAAGCAAAAUUCAGAUUGAUUAUCGAUAGAAUUCUUGAAUGCUUCAACAGUUACAGUUCCAGAAAAACCGGAUCCAUUCUCAGGGUAGUCUUAAAUGCAGUGCUAUCAAGGCGAAAGGCGCCAGUAAGGCGACAGGGUACUCUGUCGCCUUAGAGGAGAGGUGAGGGGCGAGGCAAGAGCCUUUUUGAAGUGAGGCACCCAGACAUAGCAUAGCCUAAAUUAUAU